Triticum aestivum (bread wheat) is the source of this 1023-nucleotide long non-coding RNA. RefSeq lists it as uncharacterized. The transcript has 3 exons. Lineage: Eukaryota; Viridiplantae; Streptophyta; Magnoliopsida; Poales; Poaceae. The record is from RefSeq and is a predicted model, not a curated record.
CAGGCCUGCGAAUUUGCACGGGCACCCCUGUCCCACCCCACGUCGCAGAUCCGAUCACUACGGCGGCGACCCGCGGCCAAAGACGGAGACCUCGCCGUGCGCCCUAAACACCGACGACACAGGAUACUGAUCGAUUGCAGUUGGGUUCAUCUCGAUCUCCUGACGCGGCCGCCGUGUACUUCUUGGUGCGAGCAAUGCAAUCUACCAAUAGCUUGCAAAUGCAGUUGGAGGAGGAAAGAUUUACCACACCUGUAAAGAAAGCAAGUGUUCCUCUCCCCUGUUCGUCUUUUACACCGGAAUGUGAAGAGAAUUUGAAGCCUAAUUUAGGCAUGACAUUUGAAGGAUUAGAGGCUGUUGAGAAGUUCUAUAAGUUUUAUGGACAUGAAGUUGUGUGGUAAUGAUACCUACAAGAUAGAAUCAUGGGUUGAGCACUACAAUCAUGGUCACUUGAUCAGAUCAAAUCGUCUGAGUUAUUGAGAGUGCAAAGAAUGCAUUCUACACAUGUAACAAAGCAAGCAUAGACACCUGUCAGACAUACAGGCUUCUCCAAGUCAGCGAGGGUUCCUGCAGUGAAGCACACUAGGCAAGAGGAAUAUGAGGCAUUUAUUGGUUGCAACAUCCCUACUCAAGUUAACAUACACCCGCCAAAUGAUGUUCGUUCGGCAGGGAGAAGUAAAAGAAUAAGGAGAGGAAAGGAGAUGAAUGGGGAAGAACUUAAAGAGAAGAACGAAGAAGCCAAGGCCAAGGUCGCACGCUCGUGCAAGACGUGCAACCAAGUACGGUUUCAUGAUAGUCGCAAUUGUCCAAAGAAAAAGGGUCAGGAAAAGAAGUCAUGAAUGUGCAUGUCAUGCAUACAGAAUUACAGAUUGUGCAUCAUGAAAGGUACACCUCUUGCAAGAAAAAUAAAUGCUUUAUCAAUAGUAUUGUUUUAUUCGAUGUAUAAAAUUUCUUUGUGUAAUGGAUCAAAUAAUUAUUUUGUCCAACUGUUUGACUUAGUGGUGAGCAGAUUCAAUGAAUUGCAGU